GUCCACGCCCUAAACGAUGUCAACUAGGUGUUGGGGAAGGAGACUUCUUUAGUACCGCAGCUAACGCGAUAAGUUGACCGCCUGGGGAGUACGGUCGCAAGAUUAAAACUCAAAGGAAUUGACGGGACCCGCACAAGCGGUGGAUUAUGUGGAUUAAUUCGAUGCAACGCGAAAACCUUACCUACCCUUGACAUGCCAGGAAGAUCGCAGAGAUGCGAUUGUGCCCGCAAGGGAACCUGGACACAGGUGCUGCAUGGCUGUCGU
RNAcentral lists this ribosomal RNA (264 nucleotides) under uncultured bacterium. Its description in RNAcentral is "partial 16S ribosomal RNA". It matches the Rfam family "Bacterial small subunit ribosomal RNA", at positions 793 to 1055 of the family's 1533-position model. The record is from RNAcentral.